UAAAAUAUAUGAUUCUGAUGACAUUCUACAAGAAAGUUUUAUCUGUGAUAUGAUAAAUACUCUAAAGGAAUGAAAUAGCUAUAUAUAAUAUAAAAUAUAUGUAUAUGCGUGUGUGUGUGUACAUAUAUAUAUGUAUGCCAAUAUGUAGAAGAUUGAAUAAAUAUUCUGUUCCUCUUCUAUAGUUGAUAUAUAUGAAAAUAGAAAAUGGAUCAUGAAGAGGAAUUUCUAAAUAAUUUUUUUACUCAAGUAACACAGUUAUGCUCAGAUAAAGCAAAAGAACUUGUUGAGAAAGAACGAGAAUCAUGCAGACAAACACAAAUGGGUCCAUGGGGAAUGUUGUUGAUGACAUUACCACAAAUAGCAUUUACAGAGCGCUCUUAUGCAGAUCUUGGUUUUCUUCACACUAAAAACAAAGGCUUCCUGAGGAAAGAUAAUUCCUUAAAAACUGUCUAUGAAUCAUUAAAAUCAGAUCUUCGAAGGUUAGAAGAAAUGACAAGAGGAACAAAUGCCAUCGGUGCUAUAGUUGCAGAGGUUUCUAGUCAACUUUAUCAAUUCAUUGUUGCAAGGAUCCAGUUAAUAGAUUUCUACGAAAAAAUGCACAGUAUGAGCAUUAACAACAAAGUAAUGAAAUAUCAAGAAUUAUUACAAUCUAUUAAUACAAUAGUACAAACACAUUCUUUGUCUUGUUCUCAUUUGGCACUAACGGCUAUAAAAACAACUUUGACUUUGGAAUGUGAAAUAUUGGUUCAACUAACAGAAGCGCAUAUAGAAAUACAACACUGGAGAUUUUUACCUACUCUUAUGGCACUUUUUGGAGCACAGACACGAAUGUCAGCAUGGGAAAGAACUUUACAAAGCAAAGAGUCAUGGAAAUUGGGCUUUGGCGCUACAUUUCUUAAAGCUAAUCAACAGCCAGCAUUGUAUCAGUGGUUAGUAAAAUUAAAAAAUGCCAUAUUAGCAAAAUGUUCUUUAUAUUUUCAUACAACACUGAGCCAACAAGCUACUCCAGGAGAAAUGAGAAGUAUAAUGAGUAAACAAAGUGUGGAUUAUUAUCACAAAAUUCAAAGUUUUCAACGUAAACACGAUGUAGUAGCUGUUUUAAUAGUAUUUGAUUCUAGAGGAAUGAAAGAUUCAGGACCAGGUUAUAGGCAUUCCGGUAGGAAAUCUGAAGUAUCCGAAGACUUCACAGUUGUUGUUAGUUGUCCAUAUGCAUUUACUCAAAAACCAUUAAUCCAUUGGGAUAAUAUACAAAACAAGAUAAGAGAACGUUAUGCAGAACUUCUUACUAUGGAUAAAAUAAUUUAUGCUAAGAGUUUAAGGGAUUUAUGUACAUAUGCACUGUAUAAUGUGGAUCCCAAAAUGACUUUAGUGACUAUAUAUGAGACUGAGAAACAGAAGGACAAAGAAAGGCAUGUCUCUACAUUUAUGUCCGAUAUGUGUACACAAAUCAAAUGCAACAAAAUUUAUGAAUCUUUGAAAUUGGCGAAAUAAGAAAAAUAAGAACAAACAAUUAUAAAUAAUCUACAGAGAUGUGCACCAUAAUCCUUUUGCAAUCCCUUUGUCACCCAAAAGAGAAUUACUUAUUAUCAUCUAAAAAAAAGAAAAGAUCAAAGAAAAGAUUUAAUAUUGUAAUACACACGGUAGGAAGAACAUGAAGUCGUCGGAUUUCUAUCACAAAGGCGAUUACAAAGAGUAUUACAAACUUUUACAAUUCUUUAUGCGUAUAUGCGGUCUCUGGCCUUAUCAAUCGUUUUUCGCUAAAUAUUUUUUUAUAACGAUGACAAUAUUCUUAAGCGAAGGGAUACUCGUUGGACAGGUAUUUACACAUUUGCGUGCGAGCUGUGUACGUAUGCGUGCGUGUGUGUGUAAUAUAUAAUAUAUAAUAUAUAUAUACAAUCAUCAGUAAAGAUAUAUGAGAAUGAAAAAAAGACAAAUUAACAACAAAAAAAUAGAAAAUCUCUCUGUUGAAAUGUACUAAUUUUUUUUCAAUCUAGUUAAUAGAGGUAAUACAAAUUCGAACAGAUUUAAACGAAGUGAUGGAUUGUAUACCUAAUUUAUUGAUAUCCAUCAUUGUUGGAAUAAAAUUCAUAGGCCUUCUAUUCAAUUCGGAAAAGAAGAAAUGUAUCGAUAGAAUCGCUGAGGAUUGGCAAGAUUUAUCUUCGAAUGCGGAAAUUGAGCUAUUGAAGGCGUUUACCGUUCAAGGACAAAAGUUAGCUUUCGUUUACUUAUUUCACGCGUCAUUUACCGGCUUCAUGUUUUUGCUGCAAUCAAUCGUGCUGAGCUUCAAUUCUGAUAAUUCAACAAAUAUAAUCUCUACUGUUCCGUAUCGCGUGCGAUAUGGCAUCGAUAUAGAAAAAUAUUAUUACGAGAUACUAUUUCAUUGUUACGUUUCCGUAUUUUCCCAUAUGCUCAUUUUAUCUUCCAUAAAUUUAAUAUACAUCUCGUUUAUUCAACACGCCUGUGGAUUAUUUUCCGUAAUCGGAUAUCAAUUGGAACAUAUUGGCAAUGAAGAACGUUUGGACGUUGAUCUGAAUAUUAAAAGGGUCGAUGAUAAUAAUUAUCAUAUUGCUUUGAAUUUGAGAUUGUCUACGAAAACAUAUUAAAGUUAUAGAGUUCGUAUCAAUAUUAAAUUAUUUUGUCUUUUUUCAAUUCAAUUUGAAAUUACAAUUUUAUAGAUUUUCCGAGUUCAUAGAUGGAUCAUUCUCGGUUAGUUAUUUAUUUAACUUGGGAUUAUUCGUGUUAAUUUUAGCCGUUUCUGGUACUCAGGUAAAACGAUAAAAUAAAUAUUAUAUGUAAUUAGAAAAAUUAUUUUUGUUAUAACAAAAAUUACUGUUUAAUCUAAUAAAAAUGAACUAUUUAUCACUCUACAGGUACUAAUGCAUUCCGAUCAAAUAAAUGAAGCUGUGUGAUACGGCAGUCUUUUUAUCUCUAUACUUAUACAAAUAUUCUGGCAAUGCUGGCAAGCACAGCGCUUAUUGAAUUGUAGUAAUAUGCCUUACGAGGGCGUGUGAGUUAAAUUCGUCACGUUAAAUCUAUUUAAAUUUUAAUAAAUAUUUAUACAA
Molecule: RNA transcript, 3062 nt
Organism: Vespula vulgaris
Lineage: Eukaryota; Metazoa; Arthropoda; Insecta; Hymenoptera; Vespidae
Gene name: KICSTOR subunit 2-like
Exons: 13
Source: RefSeq, a predicted model, not a curated record